AGAGUUUGAUCAUGGCUCAGGAUGAACGCUGGCGGUAUGCUUUACACAUGCAAGUCGUACGAGAGUUUUUAACUCAAGUGGCGGACGGGUGAGUAACACGUAAGAAUUUGCCUUUAGGAGGGGGAUAACAACUGGAAACGGUUGCUAAUACCCCAUAUGCUUUCGAGUGAAAUGGAUUAUUCCGCCUAAAGAGAAGCUUGCGGCUGAUUAGCUUGUUGGUGAGGUAAUGGCUUACCAAGGCGACGAUCAGUAUCUGGUUUGAGAGGACGAUCAGACACACUGGAACUGAGACACGGUCCAGACUCCUACGGGAGGCAGCAGUGGGGAAUUUUCCGCAAUGGGCGAAAGCCUGACGGAGCAAUACCGCGUGAGGGAUGACGGCCUAUGGGUUGUAAACCUCUUUUUUCAGGGAGGAAUCAAAUGACGUGUACCUGAAGAAUAAGCAUCGGCUAACUCCGUGCCAGCAGCCGCGGUAAGACGGAGGAUGCAAGCGUUAAUCGGAAUUACUGGGCGUAAAGCGUGCGCAGGCGGUUAUAUAAGACAGAUGUGAAAUCCCCGGGCUCAACCUGGGACCUGCAUUUGUGACUGUAUAGCUAGAGUACGGUAGAGGGGGAUGGAAUUCCGCGUGUAGCAGUGAAAUGCGUAGAUAUGCGGAGGAACACCGAUGGCGAAGGC
RNAcentral lists this ribosomal RNA (675 nucleotides) under uncultured bacterium. Its description in RNAcentral is "bacterial SSU rRNA". It matches the Rfam family "Bacterial small subunit ribosomal RNA", at positions 8 to 722 of the family's 1533-position model. The record is from RNAcentral.